Molecule: ribosomal RNA, 254 nt
Filed under: uncultured bacterium
Lineage: Bacteria
Description: partial 16S ribosomal RNA
Rfam family: Bacterial small subunit ribosomal RNA
Source: RNAcentral
UACGUAGAAGGCAAGCGUUAGUCCGGAAUUACUGGGCGUAAAGCGCGUGUAGGUGGUGGGACAAGUCUGCUGUGAAAGCGCCUGGCUUAACCGGGCGAGGUCGGCGGAAACUGUCCGACUCGAGGACGGUAGAGGGGGGUGGAAUUCCCGGUGUAGUGGUGAAAUGCGUAGAGAUCGGGAGGAACACCUGUGGCGAAGGCGGCCCCCUGGGCCGGCCCUGACACUGAGACGCGAAGGCGUGGGGAGCGAACGGG